UUUUAAAUUGAGAGUUUGAUCCUGGCUCAGGACGAACGCUGGCGGCGUGCCUAACACAUGCAAGUCGAGCGAUGAA
Molecule: ribosomal RNA, 76 nt
Filed under: Clostridium botulinum
Lineage: Bacteria; Bacillati; Bacillota; Clostridia; Eubacteriales; Clostridiaceae
Description: partial 16S ribosomal RNA
Rfam family: Bacterial small subunit ribosomal RNA
Source: RNAcentral